ACUGGAACAUAAGGAGAGAAAUGGAUAAAUUUAGAGAUGAGUCUUGGUGAUUCUGAAUGAACAUCAAUUGUCUUGAAGGAUCUGGAGUCUAUGCCAGCUUCUCUGCUUCUCUCAAUCUGGCCUGGAUGCUUCCAUGGAAAAAUGUGAGAUAGAAGUAAUUCUGGCUUAGGGCUGUCAAUGAGAUUAACCAUCCUGCUUCCUCAAGCCUCUGAAUCCAACAUGGGUCAUGUCUUUUCCAUGCAGCUUGAGACCUGCAUUUGUCAAUGCCUGUCUCCAAAGCAGAGAGGACUUCUACUCACACAGGAGGACCCGGGAUCCGUAGGCAGGUUCCUGCUGGAGAGAAGGCAUGGAGCUGCCAUACCAACACCUCUCUACCCUUCCCCAGCUUGGAUUUGGCAUUCCACCCACUGUGCCUCAGCCUGCACAUGACUGUAGAGUCUCCAGACUUGGCUAGUGUACCCUGCUCAGCUCCAAGCUCAGCGCUAUGAAUCCUUUGUCAUUCUGGAGGUUUCACACCCUGCACAAAGAUCAAUUUCAACCCUGGUUAAGACCUUCAGCCCUACACUUGCAAGAGCCACUGUCCAUCAUGCAUGUUUCUGGAAUAUGUGCUUUUUGGUGAUAACAAAUCAAAUGAAGAAAUUCUGUCUUCAGCUGUUUUCUGAUUUCAGGGCUAAGCAUUCAGAAGGGAAUGUUGAAGACAUCCUGGACCAAAUAAACAUCACAAUUGUGGGCAGGUGCCCUUUAGCUGAU
This is a non-coding RNA of Cricetulus griseus (Chinese hamster), 750 nucleotides long. The record is from RefSeq and is a predicted model, not a curated record. NCBI's taxonomy places the organism in Eukaryota, Metazoa, Chordata, Mammalia, Rodentia, Cricetidae.